CCUACGGGGUGCAGCAGUGGGGAAUAUUGGGCAAUGGGCGCAAGCCUGACCCAGCAACGCCGCGUGAAGGAAGAAGGCUUUCGGGUUGUAAACUUCUUUUCUCAGGGACGAAGAAAGUGACGGUACCUGAUGAAUAAGCCACGGCUAACUACGUGCCAGCAGCCGCGGUAAUACGUAGGUGGCAAGCGUUAUCCGGAUUUAUUGGGUGUAAAGGGCGUGUAGGCGGUAGCGCAAGGCAGAUGUGAAAACUUAGGGCUCAACCCUGAGCCUGCAUUUGAAACUGGUUUUCUUGAGUGCUGGAGAGGUAAUCGGAAUUCCGUGUGUAGCGGUGAAAUGCGUAGAUAUAAGGAGGAACACCAGUGGCGAAGGCGGAUUGCUGGACAGUAACUGACGCUGAGGCGCGAAAGCGUGGGGAGCAAACAGGAUUAGAUACCCUUGUAGUC
Molecule: ribosomal RNA, 443 nt
Filed under: uncultured bacterium
Lineage: Bacteria
Description: partial 16S ribosomal RNA
Rfam family: Bacterial small subunit ribosomal RNA
Source: RNAcentral